UGCCACAGCCAUGUCACCCUGCAGCCCAAGACCGGUUACUCACUGAAGCUAAGCAGGGCUGAGCCUGGUCAGUACUUGGAUGGGAGACCACUAGGGAACACUAGGUUGCUGUUGGAA
RNAcentral lists this ribosomal RNA (117 nucleotides) under Danio rerio (zebrafish). Lineage: Eukaryota; Metazoa; Chordata; Actinopteri; Cypriniformes; Danionidae. The record is from RNAcentral.